Manacus vitellinus (golden-collared manakin) is the source of this 891-nucleotide long non-coding RNA. RefSeq lists it as uncharacterized. The record is from RefSeq and is a predicted model, not a curated record. NCBI's taxonomy places the organism in Eukaryota, Metazoa, Chordata, Aves, Passeriformes, Pipridae. The transcript is spliced from 5 exons.
CAUGGAUUUCAGACUGUUGGGACAAAGUCUUGAAAAAUAUCCAGUAACUAUCAUUAUUGCCAACUAUGGGAUCCCAGACUGAGAGCAGAGGUGGUAGUCCUGGAGAAGACACAGAUGCACGAAGCCAUCAGAUAGAUGUCCCUGAAAACUCUUUUGACUGUUUAUCACAGGAAACCUUGCUGUGGCCAGCAUUCACUCUGACUUUUGGUGGAGCAGCUGUUGUGUUGCUGAGUUCAUUGAAUUGAAGGUGUGCUGCCCAUGGGUGAACAAUGUGAUUUCUGCCUCCCCUACCUCUGCCACUGAGCACACGGCACCUUCCUGAUCUUCACAUAAGUAAUACUUGGCUUGGACCUGCAAGAAUUUGACUGAUUUUGGAGAAAGCUUUACUCUGCUACUGCCUGAGGGUAUGCUAUUAGAACGUGCUUGCUCAAAAAUAAGGGGACACUCAAGCAAGGGAUGACAGAUCAAGGGGAUCUCAGCGCCCUGAGCUUGAGGACCAUGACUGCAAGAAUAAUCAACUCCCAGUUGACCUGAAUUUGUGCGAGACCUGCUACUCCAGCUGGAUCCCUACAAAUCUAUGGGGCCUGAUGGGAUUCAUCCCAGAAUCCUCAAAGAGCUGACUGAUGUUAUCGCAAAGCCUCUCUCAAUUUUUGAGUUGUCUUGGGAAUCUGGAAAGUUCUCAGUUGACUGGAAGCUGGCAAAUGUUGUACCAAUUUUCAAUAAGGGCAAGAAGGAGGACUUCAGAACCUACAGGCCUGUCAGUCUCCCUUCAGUGCCUGGUAAAUUAUAGAUUUACCAGUGCCUGGUAAAUUGUAGAUUAUUCUGGGAGGUAUUGAAAAACACCUGAAAGACACAACCAGCAGGGUAGUCCUGCUUAUCAAACCUGAUUUC